Molecule: ribosomal RNA, 540 nt
Filed under: uncultured bacterium
Lineage: Bacteria
Description: bacterial SSU rRNA
Rfam family: Bacterial small subunit ribosomal RNA
Source: RNAcentral
AAUAGAUACCCAGGUAGUCCACGCCGUAAACGAUGAGUGCUAAGUGUUAGAGGGUUUCCGCCCUUUAGUGCUGCAGCUAACGCGUUAAGCACUCCGCCUGGGGAGUACGGCCGCAAGGCUGAAACUCAAAGGAAUUGACGGGGGCCCGCACAAGCGGUGGAGCAUGUGGUUUAAUUCGAAGCAACGCGAAGAACCUUACCAGGUCUUGACAUCCCCUGCCAACCCUAGAGAUAGGGCGUUCCCCUUCGGGGGACAGAGUGACAGGUGGUGCAUGGUUGUCGUCAGCUCGUGUCGUGAGAUGUUGGGUUAAGUCCCGCAACGAGCGCAACCCUUGAUCUUAGUUGCCGGCAUUUAGUUGGGCACUCUAAGGUGACUGCCGGUGACAAACCGGAGGAAGGUGGGGAUGACGUCAAAUCAUCAUGCCCCUUAUGACCUGGGCUACACACGUGCUACAAUGGAUGGUACAAAGAGCUGCGAACCCGCGAGGGUAAGCGAAUCUCAUAAAGCCAUUCUCAGUUCGGAUUGUAGGCUGCAACUCCG